GCUGAAAACCUAGCCCAACGAAUAUGAAUUAGACCAAGCUAAUGAAUUAUGUAAAUUAAAUCAUUUUAUAUUUCUAGUAAAGGAGAUUGAAAAAUCAAUUGGAGCUAUAAUUAUAGUACCGCAAGGGAACGGUGAAAUAUUGAGUGAAAAACUUCAAGCAACAAAAAGUAAUGGUUACCCCAUGUACCUUUUGCAUCAUGGUUUAACUAGCAUAAUCAAGCAAAAUGCAUUUUAGUUUGACCUCCCGAAACUAAGUGAGCUACUUCAGGGCAGCUAAGAGAGCCAACCCGUCUCUGUUGCAAAAGAGUGGGACGACCUUCAAGUAGCGGUGACAGACCUAACGAACUUAGUGAUAGCUGGUUACUCAAGAAAGGGAUCUAAGUCCAACCUAAAAUUCUACAAUUUAGUAAAUCAAAACUACAACCUGAGUUUUAACGUAAUUCAAAUAAGGUACAGCCUAUUUGAAACAGGAUACAACCUAGACCAACGGAUAAUUUUAGCUUAUAAGACAACCAAGUGGGCCCAAAAGCAGCCAUCUUUAGAAUUGCGUCAAAGCUUAAUUGUUUACACGCCUAAUUUUUCUAUUACUUCUUAAUCCUUCACCUGUACUGAGUAAUUCUAUACUUCUAUAGAAAAUUUAAUGUUAAAACUAGUAACAAGAAGAAAGCCCUUCUCUAAAAUGUAAGUGUAAAUCAGGCAGGACAGACCACUGAUAAUUAACAUAUUUGAGCCAAAAGUAACAACACAUCAAGAAAACCUUACUUAUAUUUAUGUUAACCUAACACAAGAGCAUCUUAAUGAAAGAUUAAAAGAAAAAGAAGGAACUCGGCAAAUAUUAACCCCGCCUGUUUACCAAAAACAUCGCCUCUUGAAUUUCAUAAGAGGUCCAGCCUGCCCAGUGACUCUGUUCAACGGCCGCGGUAUCCUAACCGUGCGAAGGUAGCGUAAUCACUUGUUCUUUAAUUGUGGACUAGUAUGAAUGGCACCACGAGGGUUAUACUGUCUCCUUUUUCUAAUCAGUGAAACUAAUCUCUCCGUGAAGAAGCGGAGAUGAAUAUAUAAGACGAGAAGACCCUAUGGAGCUUUAAACAAUAUAGCAAUUACCAUACUACAUAAAUUUUUCUGAAUCACUUAAUUUUCAAGGUAGCAUGACUAUUAGUUUUUGGUUGGGGUGACCGCGGAGCAAAAUCCAACCUCCAUGCUGAAUGAUUAAACUUCUAAGCUAAGACCUACGUGUCUAAGCAUCAGCAUACUGACACUUAUUGACCCAAUAUAUUUGAGCAACGAACCAAGUUACCCUAGGGAUAACAGCGCAAUCCACUUCAAGAGCUCCUAUCGACAAGUGGGUUUACGACCUCGAUGUUGGAUCAGGGUAUCCCAGUGGUGCAGCCGCUACUAAAGGUUCG
RNAcentral lists this ribosomal RNA (1406 nucleotides) under Sclerophrys poweri (western olive toad). Its description in RNAcentral is "partial 16S ribosomal RNA". It matches the Rfam family "Bacterial large subunit ribosomal RNA", at positions 157 to 2575 of the family's 2925-position model. The record is from RNAcentral. Lineage: Eukaryota; Metazoa; Chordata; Amphibia; Anura; Bufonidae.